RNAcentral lists this ribosomal RNA (492 nucleotides) under uncultured bacterium. RNAcentral's name for it is "partial 16S ribosomal RNA". It matches the Rfam family "Bacterial small subunit ribosomal RNA", at positions 29 to 507 of the family's 1533-position model. The record is from RNAcentral.
AGUGAACGCUGGCGGUAGGCCUAACACAUGCAAGUCGAACGGCAGCACAGUAAGAGCUUGCUCUUACGGGUGGCGAGUGGCGGACGGGUGAGGAAUACAUCGGAAUCUACUUUUUCGUGGGGGAUAACGUAGGGAAACUUACGCUAAUACCGCAUACGACCUACGGGUGAAAGCAGGGGAUCUUCGGACCUUGCGCGAUUGAAUGAGCCGAUGCCGGAUUAGCUAGUUGGCGGGGUAAAGGCCCACCAAGGCGAGGAUCCGUAGCCGGUCUGUGAGGAGGAUCAGCCGCACUGGAACUUGGACACGGUCCAGAGUCCUACGGGAGGCAGCAGUGGGGAAUAUUGGACAAUGGGCGCAAGCCUGAUCCAGCCAUACCGCGUGGGUGAAGAAGGCCUUCGGGUUGUAAAGCCCUUUUGUUGGGAAAGAAAAGCAGCAGGUUAAUACCCCGCUGUUCUGACGGUACCCAAAGAAUAAGCACCGGCUAACUUCGUG